This 497-nucleotide ribosomal RNA is filed under the name uncultured bacterium. RNAcentral describes it as "partial 16S ribosomal RNA". It matches the Rfam family "Bacterial small subunit ribosomal RNA", at positions 28 to 507 of the family's 1533-position model. The record is from RNAcentral.
GAUGAACGCUGGCGGCGUGCCUAAUACAUGCAAGUCGAGCGAACGGACGAGAAGCUUGCUUCUCUGAUGUUAGCGGCGGACGGGUGAGUAACACGUGGAUAACCUACCUAUAAGACUGGGAUAACUUCGGGAAACCGGAGCUAAUACCGGAUAAUAUUUUGAACCGCAUGGUUCAAAAGUGAAAGACGGCCUUGCUGUCACUAAUAGAUGGAUCCGCGCUGCAUUAGCUAGUUGGUAAGGUAACGGCUUACCAAGGCAACGAUGCAUAGCCGACCUGAGAGGGUGAUCGGCCACACUGGAACUGAGACACGGUCCAGACUCCUACGGGAGGCAGCAGUAGGGAAUCUUCCGCAAUGGGCGAAAGCCUGACGGAGCAACGCCGCGUGAGUGAUGAAGGUCUUCGGAUCGUAAAACUCUGUUAUUAGGGAAGAACAUAUGUGUAAGUAACUGUGCACAUCUUGACGGUACCUAAUCAGAAAGCCACGGCUAACUACGUG